UCAACAAUAACACAAAAAGCUCUGGUGGUAUCUUCUUAUAUUUGCUUUCUACCUCUUAUGGUAUCCUUUGAUUUCAGCCUCUGGUGGUAUUUUCUGAUUUUUUCCUCUGAUGGUAUUCUCUGAUUUUUGCCUCUGAUUCUGUUUCUGCCUCUAAUGUUAUCCUCUAAUUUAUGCCUGGUAUCUUCUGAUUUUUGCCUCUGAUUCUGUUUUUGUGUCUGGUUGUAUCCUCUAGUUCUAGUUAUGGUUCCCUCUUAGUUCUUGUUGUUUUUAUUUUUUAUUCUUUUUGUUUUAGGGCAACAGUAGCAUUCUCUUCCAUCUUUUCAGUCUCCUUGCUUUUCACUUUUACAACAAUACACGCCACAUUUCUAACUUUUUGUUAGCCUGUUUUGCUUUUUCCAUUUUUUCCUAAACAAGCUGAAAUUUUUUUUCUUGUGUCACACCAUCUUUCUAAUCCUCUUUUAG
Molecule: long non-coding RNA, 462 nt
Filed under: Cicer arietinum (chickpea)
Lineage: Eukaryota; Viridiplantae; Streptophyta; Magnoliopsida; Fabales; Fabaceae
Description: long non-coding RNA (CARI_LNC001969)
Source: RNAcentral